Molecule: ribosomal RNA, 2297 nt
Filed under: human gut metagenome
Description: bacterial LSU rRNA
Rfam family: Bacterial large subunit ribosomal RNA
Source: RNAcentral
GUACCUGAAGGAAAGGAAAUCAAACGAGACUCCCUCAGUAGCGGCGAGCGAAGGGGGAAUAGCCCAAACCGUGUGGAUCCGUCCAUGCGGGGUUGUAGGGCCGGCAUACGUGAUUCUGGAGUAGGCAGGGGAAGGAAGCUGGAAAGCUUCGCCAGAGCGGGUGAUAGCCCCGUACCCGAAACCGAAAAGGACGCAGCCGGUACCUGAGUACUGCGAGGCACGUGAAACCUCGUGGGAAUCUGGGAGGACCAUCUUCCAAGGCUAAGUACUAACCGACGACCGAUAGUGCACCAGUACCGUGAGGGAAAGGUGAAAAGAACCCCUGUCAGGGGAGUGAAAUAGAAUCUGAAACCUGAUGCUUACAAGCUGUGGGAGCACCCUUGUGGUGUGACCGCGUGCCUUUUGCAUAAUGAGUCAGCGAGUUAAUCUGUACUGCAAGGUUAAGCGUAAGUGGAGCCGUAGCGAAAGCGAGUCUGAUAAGGGCGUUUAGUAGUGCGGAUUAGACCCGAAACCAGGUGAUCUAUCCAUGAGCAGGUUGAAGCAAGGGUAAAACCUUGUGGAGGACCGAACCAUUAACGGCUGAAAACGUUUUGGAUGACUUGUGGAUAGGGGUGAAAGGCCAAUCAAACCUGGUGAUAGCUGGUUCUCCCCGAAAUAUAUUGAGGUAUAGCCUCAUGGAUUGUCUACCGGAGGUAAAGCACUGACAGAGCUAGGGGUCCUACCAGAUUACCAAACUCUUUCAAACUCAGAAUGCCGGUCAGAUGUACCAUGGGAGUCAGACAGUGGGUGCUAAGGUCCAUUGUCGAGAGGGUAAGAGCCCAGAUCAACAGCUAAGGUCUCCAAAUCUAUGCUCAGUGGUUAAGGUGGUGACGUUGUAGAGACACCCAGGACGUUGGCUUAGAAGCAGCCAUCGUUUAAAGAAAGCGUAAUAGCUCACUGGUCUAAUGACGUUGCGCCGAAAAUGUAACGGGGCUAAGCAUAGUACCGAAGCUUUGAAUUCCGCUUAGGCGGUCUGGUAGGGGAGCGUUCUUCAUGGGCUGAAGGUGUGUUGUAAAGCAUGCUGGACUGUGGAGAAGUGAUUAUGCUGACAUGAGUAACGAUAAAACGGGUGAAAAACCCGUUCGCCGUAAACCCAAGGUUUCCUGGGUAAAGGUAAUCUUCCCAGGGUUAGUCGGUCCCUAAGGUGAGGCUGAAAGGCGUAGCUGAUGGGAAACGAGUUAAUAUUCUCGUACUUGUACAUCUGUGCGAUGGAGGGACGCAGAAAGGUAGGCAGGCCGGGUGUUGGUUGUCCCGGUGCAAGCAGGUAGACGUGUGGUACAGGCAAAUCCGUACCGCUCUACGUCGAGACGCGAGUCCGUGACCGUAAGGUCUGAAGCUGUUGAGCCUAUACUGCCUAGAAAAUCUUCUAAGUUUAGGAUGUGCAAACCGUACCGCAAACCAACUCAGGUGGGUGGGAUGAAUAAUCCAAGGCGCUCGAGAGAACUCUGGCCAAGGAACUCGGCAAAAUAACCCCGUAACUUCGGAAGAAGGGGUGCUCUCUAGGGUGACAUGUUUAACAUAUGAAGCCCCGGGGAGCCGCAGUGAAUUGGUGGUGGCGACUGUUUACUAAAAACAUAGGUCUGUGCGAAGUCCUAAAGACGACGUAUACGGACUGACGCCUGCCCGGUGCCGGAAGGUUAAAAGGAGAGGUCAGCGCAAGCGAAGCUUCGAAUUGAAGCCCCGGUAAACGGCGGCCGUAACUAUAACGGUCCUAAGGUAGCGAAAUUCCUUGUCGGGUAAGUUCCGACCUGCACGAAUGGCGUAACGAUCUCCACACUGUCUCGGCCAGAGACUCGGUGAAAUUGCAGUCGCGGUGAAAAUUCCGUGUACCCGCAGAAAGACGGAAAGACCCUGUGCACCUUUACUAUAGCUUGACAUUGGGAUUUGGAACUGCAUGUGUAGGAUAGGUGGGAGACUGUGAACCCUGUACGCUAGUAUGGGGGGAGUCAUUGUUGAAAUACCACCCUUGUUUUUUCAGGUCCCUAACCCUCGACCGUUAUCCGGUGAGGGAACAGUGUCUGGUGGGUAGUUUGACUGGGGCGGUCGCCUCCUAAAGAGUAACGGAGGCAUGCAAAGGUUCCCUCAGGCUGAUUGGAAACCAGCCGUCGAGUGCAAACGCAUAAGGGAGCUUGACUGCAAGAGAGACAUCUCGAGCAGGUACGAAAGUAGGUGUUAGUGAUCCGGUGAUCCCGAAUGGAAGGGUCAUCGCUCAUUGGAUAAAAGGUACGCCGGGGAUAACAGGCUGAUCGCAUCCAAGA